Molecule: ribosomal RNA, 612 nt
Filed under: uncultured bacterium
Lineage: Bacteria
Description: bacterial SSU rRNA
Rfam family: Bacterial small subunit ribosomal RNA
Source: RNAcentral
CUGCGGCGGAUUAGGUAGUUGGUGGGGUAACGGCCUACCAAGCCGAUGAUCCGUAGGGGGCGUGAGAGCGUGGCCCCCCACACUGGCACUGAGACACGGGCCAGACUCCUACGGGAGGCAGCAGUGAGGAAUAUUGCACAAUGGGCGCAAGCCUGAUGCAGCAACGCCGCGUGAGGGACGAAGGCCUUCGGGUUGUAAACCUCUUUUCUGAGGGACGAGGAAGGACGGUACCUCAGGAAUAAGUCUCGGCUAACUACGUGCCAGCAGCCGCGGUAAAACGUAGGAGGCGAGCGUUAUCCGGAUUUACUGGGCGUAAAGCGCGCGCAGGUGGCUUCGUGAGUCGGACAUGAAAGCUCCUGGCUUAACUGGGAGAGGCUGUUCGAUACUGCGGGGCUUGAGGUUGGGAGAGGGACGCGGAAUUCCCGGUGUAGUGGUGGAAUGCGUAGAUAUCGGGAGGAACACCAGUGGCGCAAGCGGCGUCCUGGCCCACACCUGACGCUGAGGUGCGAAAGCGUGGGUAGCAAACAGGAUUAGAUACCCUGGUAGUCCACGCUGUAAACGAUGUCAACUGGGUGUCGGUAGUUUUACACUAUCGGUGCCGAAGCUAACGCG